UCACUCACCGUGUCAAAUUCAUAGGAGCGGUAUUUAUACCCCAGCAGGACUCGCUUGAAUACAAGGAACGCCAUCUAAUGAAAAUCCCAUGCUGCAGGCUGAGCUGGAGGGAGCAUCGUGAGUGGCUCAGACCCAGGCCUCCAAGGCAAGGGACAGACACCGUCUUACUUGGUUUGCGGUGGAAUAUCUGGAAAAAGCAUUGGUUACAUUUUUUGUAACCCUUGGCUAAUGAGUCCCAGUCAGUGGAGGCUGAGCUAAACACCACACAGGCAGCAGACCAUCAGCUCGCUUCUCGUGAAUGCAAAGAAGAUGUCAUGGAAUCAGGUCUUAUCUUUUCAUGUAACCUGGC
RNAcentral lists this long non-coding RNA (349 nucleotides) under Pan troglodytes (chimpanzee). RNAcentral's name for it is "long non-coding RNA NONPTRT012022". Lineage: Eukaryota; Metazoa; Chordata; Mammalia; Primates; Hominidae. The record is from RNAcentral.